UAUUGCAGUGUUUAGCAAUUAAAAUCCACAUAUUAUGAAUGGCAAAAAGUAACACACUGUAUUGUCGAUCGCGACCAUAUCGACUAUAUCAAUACUCUUUUCUACUUCGUAGUAUAGAUCUCGCUUCGAGAAUUAAUUCGAUCACAAAUUUGUAGGGGUUAAGUACGAGCGGAUAUGAGCGGUCAAAUUAUCUCACAUUUAUUUUUUUUGAGAGAGACAGGUAGCACGCUACCCGCUUCGUUUAUUUUAUUUAGAAAUAAACUUAACUGUAAAUGUGAAUCAACUAGGAUUCGAAUUUGGAUCUCCGAUAUCAACCACCAAGCUCUCUGCCACUUGCUCUAGAACGGUCGGUAAAUUAUCUAACACAUUGACAUUUUUGUUUUGUUGUUUUAUCAUAUGUUUGAUUUU
Molecule: long non-coding RNA, 408 nt
Filed under: Ananas comosus (pineapple)
Lineage: Eukaryota; Viridiplantae; Streptophyta; Magnoliopsida; Poales; Bromeliaceae
Description: long non-coding RNA (ACOM_LNC018748)
Source: RNAcentral